This 399-nucleotide ribosomal RNA is filed under the name uncultured bacterium. RNAcentral describes it as "bacterial SSU rRNA". It matches the Rfam family "Bacterial small subunit ribosomal RNA", at positions 355 to 751 of the family's 1533-position model. The record is from RNAcentral.
UGAGGAAUAUUGGUCAAUGGGCGAGAGCCUGAACCAGCCAAGUCGCGUGAAGGAAGACGGUUCUAUGGAUUGUAAACUUCUUUUGUAAGGGAAUAAAGUUCACUACGUGUAGUGUUUUGUAUGUACUUUACGAAUAAGGAUCGGCUAACUCCGUGCCAGCAGCCGCGGUAAUACGGAGGAUCCAAGCGUUAUCCGGAUUUAUUGGGUUUAAAGGGUGCGUAGGCGGACCCAUAAGUCAGUGGUGAAAGUUUGCAGCUUAACUGUAAAAUUGCCGUUGAAACUGUGGGUCUUGAGUGUAAAUAAAGUAGGCGGAAUGUGCUGUGUAGCGGUGAAAUGCUUAGAUAUAACACAGAACACCAAUUGCGAAGGCAGCUUACUGGGAUACAACUGACGCUGAGG